Molecule: regulatory RNA element, 114 nt
Organism: Astyanax mexicanus (Mexican tetra)
Lineage: Eukaryota; Metazoa; Chordata; Actinopteri; Characiformes; Acestrorhamphidae
Rfam family: Potassium channel RNA editing signal
About the family: This family represents a group of sequences related to the human potassium channel Kv1.1 hairpin element which directs the efficient modification of an adenosine to inosine by an adenosine deaminase acting on RNA (ADAR).
Source: Rfam
GUAGGUUAUGGGGACAUGAGGCCAGUCACUGUUGGGGGCAAAAUCGUAGGAUCCCUGUGCGCCAUUGCUGGCGUAUUGACGAUUGCGCUCCCAGUGCCUGUUAUCGUGUCCAAC